ACACACGGAUAACAUACCGAAAGGUAUGCUAAUACGGGAUAAUAUAUUUGAGAGGCAUCUCUUAAAUAUCAAAGGUGAGCCAGUACAGGAUGGACCCGCGUCUGAUUAGCUAGUUGGUAAGGUAACGGCUUACCAAGGCGACGAUCAGUAGCCGACCUGAGAGGGUGAUCGGCCACAUUGGAACUGAGACACGGUCCAAACUCCUACGGGAGGCAGCAGUGGGGAAUAUUGCACAAUGGGCGAAAGCCUGAUGCAGCAACGCCGCGUGAGUGAUGAAGGCCUUCGGGUCGUAAAACUCUGUCCUCAAGGAAGAUAAUGACGGUACUUGAGGAGGAAGCCCCGGCUAACUACGUGCCAGCAGCCGCGGUAAUACGUAGGGGGCUAGCGUUAUCCGGAUUUACUGGGCGUAAAGGGUGCGUAGGCGGUCUUUCAAGUCAGGAGUGAAAGGCUACGGCUCAACCGUAGUAAGCUCUUGAAACUGGGAGACUUGAGUGCAGGAGAGGAGAGUGGAAUUCCUAGUGUAGCGGUGAAAUGCGUAGAUAUUAGGAGGAACACCAGUUGCGAAGGCGGCUCUCUGGACUGUAACUGACGCUGAGGCACGAAAGCGUGGGGAGCAAACGGGAUUAGAUACCCUGGUAGUCCACGCUGUAAACGAUGAGUACUAGGUGUCGGGGGUUACCCCCUUCGGUGCCGCAGCUA
This 699-nucleotide ribosomal RNA is filed under the name uncultured bacterium. Its description in RNAcentral is "bacterial SSU rRNA". It matches the Rfam family "Bacterial small subunit ribosomal RNA", at positions 135 to 854 of the family's 1533-position model. The record is from RNAcentral.